This 411-nucleotide ribosomal RNA is filed under the name Triticum aestivum (bread wheat). RNAcentral describes it as "partial small subunit ribosomal RNA". The record is from RNAcentral. Lineage: Eukaryota; Viridiplantae; Streptophyta; Magnoliopsida; Poales; Poaceae.
AUGGGCUCCCUGGGAAGCAGCGACGUCGAGAAGCGACUGGCGGUGGAGAGCGUGAACACGGAGGCGGCAUGCGCACUGCUCGCAACCGAGCAGUACGGGUACGUGGACGUCCGCAUGUGGGAGGACUUCGACCGGGGCCAUGUCGCCGGCGCGCGCAACGUGCCCUACUACCUCUCCGUCAACCCCCACGGCAAGGAGCGCAACCUGGACUUCGUGGACCAGGUCGCCGCGCUCCACUCGAAACAGGACCGGCUCCUCGUCGGCUGCCGCUCCGGGGUGCGGUCCAGGCUCGCCACCGCCGACCUCGUCGCCGCCGGGUUCACGAAGGUGAAGAACCUGGAGGGUGGCUACCUCUCCUUGCUCAAGAGCGUCAGUUACCAGCAGCCGGCAGCACUAGCCAACCUUCACUAA